Molecule: long non-coding RNA, 482 nt
Organism: Artibeus jamaicensis (Jamaican fruit-eating bat)
Lineage: Eukaryota; Metazoa; Chordata; Mammalia; Chiroptera; Phyllostomidae
Exons: 4
Source: RefSeq, a predicted model, not a curated record
GAGAGAAACAUCGAUGUGAGAGAGAAACAUCAACUGGUUGACUCCCUUACACACGCCCACCGGAAUCAAACCUGCAACCUGGGUAAGAGACCCUCUCUUCUAUCCCAGAUCACCUCCACUGGAAAGCACAAGGCCAGUCUGAUGGGAACUUCAUUGUUGUGCAGGGAACUGCAAGCAGCCUGUGGAGACUGAAGUGAUGCACUUCAGCAGCUCUAAGAGUGAAGUAGUCCUGGCUCCAGUGUCCUGAGGUCCUCGUGCCUGUCAGAUGAUAACUAGAGCCUGGCUCAGCCAGGAUCCCCUAAAAGAACAGUGCCAGGAGGCUAGAGGGAGCCCAGGAUUUAGGAAGCUGGACAACAUGUGCCAGAUCCCGGAAGCCUCGCUCUCCCCCACUCCAGCAACUAUAAUUCGUGUCUUCUAUUUUUUCUCUCCUGCCAGACAAAGCCAAACACACAUCAACAGUGUUAACACAAUAAAUGUCAGCA